GAUGGGGAGCGAAAUUUAGUAGCGAAGUAGCUGAUUUCACACUGUCAAGAAAAGUCUCUAUCGAGGUUAAAGGUACCCGUACCGCAAACCGACACAGGUGGGUGAGGAGAGUAUCCUAAGGCCAGCGAGAGAACUGUUGUUAAGGAACGCGCCCACAUGACGCCGUAACUUAGGGAUAAGGGUUGCCAAGCCGUAAGGUGGCCGCAGAGAAUAGGCCCAAGCGACUGUUUACCAAAAACAUAGGUUUCUGCUAAGUCGCAAGACGAUGUAUAGGAGCUGACGCCUGCCCGGUGCUGGAAGGUUAGGGUGAAGUCCGU
Molecule: ribosomal RNA, 317 nt
Filed under: Clostridioides difficile
Lineage: Bacteria; Bacillati; Bacillota; Clostridia; Peptostreptococcales; Peptostreptococcaceae
Description: bacterial LSU rRNA
Rfam family: Bacterial large subunit ribosomal RNA
Source: RNAcentral